GCACCUACGGGAGGUAGCAGUGAGGAAUAUUGGUCAAUGGGCGAGAGCCUGAACCAGCCAAGUCGCGUGAGGGAGUACUGCCCUAUGGGUUGUAAACCUCUUUUGUCGGGGAGCAAAAGCCGGACGUGUCCGGCUGUGAGAGUACCCGAAGAAAAAGCAUCGGCUAACUCCGUGCCAGCAGCCGCGGUAAUACGGAGGAUGCGAGCGUUAAUCGGAAUUACUGGGCGUAAAGCGCUCGUAGGCGGUAUGU
This 250-nucleotide ribosomal RNA is filed under the name uncultured bacterium. RNAcentral's name for it is "partial 16S ribosomal RNA". It matches the Rfam family "Bacterial small subunit ribosomal RNA", at positions 335 to 583 of the family's 1533-position model. The record is from RNAcentral.